CAAAAAAAUAGAACAUGUCCUAUUCUUGUCCACAAUUGAGGACAAGAACAGGCAUAUUCUAUUAGUGCCGGCAAUGUGCGGUCCGCAAAAUGCGGAACGCACAUUGCCGCUUUCCGGGUUUUGCGGCUCCGUGUAUCUGCAAAACACGUUGCGGACGUGUGAAUGGAGCCUUAAUCACUUUGCUGUUU
This is a long non-coding RNA of Bufo bufo (common toad), 188 nucleotides long. RefSeq lists it as uncharacterized. The transcript has 3 exons. Lineage: Eukaryota; Metazoa; Chordata; Amphibia; Anura; Bufonidae. The record is from RefSeq and is a predicted model, not a curated record.